Molecule: long non-coding RNA, 592 nt
Filed under: Monodelphis domestica (gray short-tailed opossum)
Lineage: Eukaryota; Metazoa; Chordata; Mammalia; Didelphimorphia; Didelphidae
Description: lncRNA (ENSMODG00000048455.1)
Source: RNAcentral
GCCUCAGAUGGCACCUCUCCACACAGAAGAUACUAUGGAGCUGUAUCUUCAAUGAUGAUGAUGUCAUAUAGGGGAAGUACCUUGGACAGAGACUGUGGAGCAUGGAUGGACAUUCUAUAAUUGGUUUUAGUCAGUGCUGUUGGGGAAUCUCAGUGUCCUGAGAAGGGAGUGGAGCUUGUGACCUUUGAGUUAUAAAGGUCUAGAGUAUUCCUUGGAAUCCUGUAAUUCCACAAAGCAUAACAUCAAUGCCCAGAGGAACUCCUGAAGGGGUAAUCUUCAGGGUCCCAGCCCAGCAGUAACUUACUCCAGCAUCUUUCCUACUUAUACUGCAACUGGACAUGAAGUUGGUGGGAUCAUUGUUGUGCAAGAACUGAGACAAGUUUUGAGCCCCUGCUUUCCUCCACCUUCUCACCAAGUUAGUGGAGAGGUGAUCAUGAACCAAGAGGCACUGAGGGAAAUAUUGAAUUCCAAGGAAAGUUCUGUUUCAGGAGGGACACAGAAUACAAGGAAUCAGUGAAUAAACAUCUAAGCAAACUUCUUCACCCUGGGCUUUCCAAGCACAGAAAUAAACAUUGAGCUCAAGUACUCUGCA